Molecule: unclassified non-coding RNA, 367 nt
Filed under: Hevea brasiliensis (rubber tree)
Lineage: Eukaryota; Viridiplantae; Streptophyta; Magnoliopsida; Malpighiales; Euphorbiaceae
Source: RNAcentral
CCUUUUUGAGCAGCAGGUUGACGCUCUCGACGCCGUCGUUUCCCUUUGGGAGCGCCGGCUUGCAGGGGAACAUUUGUUUACUCCGGUGGUUGAUUUUAGUUUCGACGAUGAUUUUAAUGAGAGAGUGAGAAGUUUGUUCCAAUUGUAUGUAGAGAAGCUUCUGCAAGGGGAGUCUGUCGAGAAAUUGGAGAGGAAGGUAAAUGAUUUGUCUGUUGAGAAUGAGAAAGUUGCGAGCUUUCUUAGGAAGGCUAGGGGUCUUCAAGCUUUUAGUGAGGCUGAGGCAAGGAAUAAGCAGUUGGUGGAGGAGAUGAAUCGAAUUAUGAUUAGGAUUGAGGAGUUUAAGUGUGCAGUCAGGUGUGUAACGGAU